This 521-nucleotide long non-coding RNA is filed under the name Ananas comosus (pineapple). Its description in RNAcentral is "long non-coding RNA (ACOM_LNC016650)". The record is from RNAcentral. Lineage: Eukaryota; Viridiplantae; Streptophyta; Magnoliopsida; Poales; Bromeliaceae.
GUGAAAAUGAAGUAGAAUAAUUUAACCUAAUUUGCAAUCACUGCAAUAGAAUUAAAUUAUAGAAAUACAUUUUUAAAAUAUUUUUGUGUAAGUGUUUUAUUUUAUAUUAAAUUUUUUUUAAAAAAUCUAGUAAAACCUAAAUAUAAAGCUCAAUCCAACCAAAAAUAAAAAGUUCUGUAUUCAACCAAUCUUACCCAGCCUACUCGGUUCAAUUACAAAUAGAAAGAAAAAAAAAAAAAAUUGAUCACCUUCUUCCCUUCUCCUCCUCUGCAACAGCCGACAAGCUAGGGUUCCUGCAGCUAGAGUUCGGCCACGAAGAUCUCGCAGGGACCGUACAGGGCUACGAUCGCCAUGUGUCCUUCUACUACAGGUCGAUGGAGGAGUGGGUGCCAAAGAUCGAGACGGCCCCACAUAUAGCGACCCCAUAUAUAACAAUACUUUUAAAAAGUGUCGAUACUUUAGCCAGCAGCAUUUUUUUUUUGCCUUGUACCGAUAUUUAAAAAUAUUCCUAUAUAUACACU